This 421-nucleotide ribosomal RNA is filed under the name uncultured bacterium. RNAcentral's name for it is "bacterial SSU rRNA". It matches the Rfam family "Bacterial small subunit ribosomal RNA", at positions 355 to 774 of the family's 1533-position model. The record is from RNAcentral.
UAGGGAAUAUUGGGCAAUGGAGGCAACUCUGACCCAGCCAUGCCGCGUGCAGGAUGAAGGCGUUAUGCGUUGUAAACUGCUUUUAUAUAGGAAGAAAUAGACCUUGCGAGGUAAGUUGACGGUACUACAUGAAUAAGCACCGGCUAACUCCGUGCCAGCAGCCGCGGUAAUACGGAGGGUGCAAGCGUUGUCCGGAUUUAUUGGGUUUAAAGGGUGCGUAGGCGGUUUAUUAAGUCAGUGGUGAAAGACGGUCGCUCAACGAUUGCAGUGCCAUUGAUACUGGUAGACUUGAGUGGGAUUGAGGUAGCUGGAAUGGAUAGUGUAGCGGUGAAAUGCAUAGAUAUUAUCCAGAACACCAAUUGCGUAGGCAAGUUACUAAGUCUCAACUGACGCUGAGGCACGAAAGUGUGGGUAUCAAACA